UACGAAGGGGGCUAGCGUUGCUCGGAAUCACUGGGCGUAAAGCGCACGUAGGCGGCUUUCUAAGUCAGGGGUGAAAUCCCGGAGCUCAACUCCGGAACUGCCUUUGAUACUGGAAAGCUUGAGUUCGAGAGAGGUGAGUGGAACUGCGAGUGUAGAGGUGAAAUUCGUAGAUAUUCGCAAGAACACCAGUGGCGAAGGCGGCUCACUGGCUCGAUACUGACGCUGAGGUGCGAAAGCGUGGGGAGCAAACAGG
Molecule: ribosomal RNA, 253 nt
Filed under: uncultured bacterium
Lineage: Bacteria
Description: partial 16S ribosomal RNA
Rfam family: Bacterial small subunit ribosomal RNA
Source: RNAcentral